This is a long non-coding RNA of Papilio xuthus (Asian swallowtail), 386 nucleotides long. RefSeq lists it as uncharacterized. The transcript is spliced from 2 exons. The record is from RefSeq and is a predicted model, not a curated record. Lineage: Eukaryota; Metazoa; Arthropoda; Insecta; Lepidoptera; Papilionidae.
GUAUAUAGGCAAUUGAGUGUAGGUUAGAAAUUAUAAUUAUGCCUACAAUUUGAUUAGAGUUCCAAGAGUUCUCUUCAGUUUCUGGGAAGAAGAGUUUUUAAAAAGACUUACGUCUAUUAAUCUCAUUUUUAAAUUGGAUCCAAAACUAGUUGUAAUACGUAAUCAUAAUGUUUCGUCUUCCAUUCGGCGAAAGGGUAGAUCCUAUGGAAGAAAAAAGACAAGCGAGGGAGAACACUAUAAAUAGUGUUAUAACGUUUUGCGUACUUUGCGCUGCUAUAAGAAUUGCUCCCAUGAUCCUGGAGCAUAGCGGGGUGCAGUAGAGCAGCGGGGCAGUCGGUGGAAGCUGCAUGUCUUUGUGCAAAUAAAAGGAGUUAGAUAAUAAAUUA